UACGUAGGGUGCAGGCGUUAAUCGGAAUUACUGGGCGUAAAGCGCGCGUAGGCGGCUUUGCAAGUCGGGUGUGAAAUCCCCAGGCUUAACCUGGGAACUGCAUUCGAGACUGCAUUGCUAGAGUAUGGGAGAGGGAAGUGGAAUUUCAGGUGUAGCGGUGAAAUGCGUAGAUAUCUGAAGGAACAUCAGUGGCGAAAGCGACUUCCUGGACCAAUACUGACGCUCAUGUGCGAAAGCGUGGGGAGCAAACAGG
Molecule: ribosomal RNA, 253 nt
Filed under: uncultured bacterium
Lineage: Bacteria
Description: partial 16S ribosomal RNA
Rfam family: Bacterial small subunit ribosomal RNA
Source: RNAcentral